GGGGCGAGCACGGGAGAAACUUUUCCCCGCCCGCUUCCACUCCGCCCCGCGGCCGCAGCAGUCCCGUGAGCGCGGCCCCGCGGGUUGAGGCACCUCGGUGAGAGCGGCGGCUCUGUGAGGAACCGCCCGUUCUCCGUCCCCGGAGGGCAACGGUACGAGGAGCUCCGCGUCCCGCCAGCGGCUCUGGAGCGAAAGCCGUAUUGAGGCAGAGCCUCCUUCAUAGAGACCGUAGCUCCGCUGAAGGGGAGCCCGCAAAAUUCUUGUCUUUUUUCGUUCACGGAAAACAAAAACAAAAACAAACUUGAAUAAGGAGAGCUGAGGCAGGGUUUAGGAAGCCAUCUCCGCGCAUCCCGUUGGUGACCGCACACCUCACGAGCUCUGAGGAGAUCUGGUCAGCGCCAUCACCGCUAUAGUGAGUCGGUCCUGACACGUGUCUGUUCCCAGCCUUUCGCAAAUUACAUGACAGAAUAGACCAAAUAAUGACUACUCGCAGAGCAGAUGAUGAAUUACCUCCAAGUCAUUAAGUCCUUGCAGGAAAAAUAGAAGUGUUUGAGAAUGAACUCACUACUUCUGUUUUUCACAUGAAGAGGCAGUAGUUGGGGGAGCUGUAGAAUGAACUUGAAAACAUUCUUAAGAGAGCACCGGCAGAAGAAAUCUCACGUGUAUUUCAGGAUGUAUGCAAAAUGUCCUGCACAAUGAAAUGUGAAAGAAGAAGGGAGAAGCAGGGAAGUCAGAUGAGAACAUGGUGCCACAGCAGCUGUGUCUGCCAGUAUGUAAGAAGCCACUUGUUCAGUGCACUCUGCAAAGCAAAAAUGGAAACAAGCUAUUACUUUGUUUUGUGUUUACAUCCUGACAUUUCUAAACAGAAGAAGAAUGUAGAACACUUGUGGAAGAGAUGCUUUUCUCUUAAAUUUGCAAGAAAUAACA
Long non-coding RNA from Lagopus leucura (white-tailed ptarmigan), 927 nucleotides. RefSeq lists it as uncharacterized. Lineage: Eukaryota; Metazoa; Chordata; Aves; Galliformes; Phasianidae. The transcript has 4 exons. The record is from RefSeq and is a predicted model, not a curated record.